This is a long non-coding RNA of Girardinichthys multiradiatus, 2859 nucleotides long. RefSeq lists it as uncharacterized. The record is from RefSeq and is a predicted model, not a curated record. Lineage: Eukaryota; Metazoa; Chordata; Actinopteri; Cyprinodontiformes; Goodeidae. The transcript has 2 exons.
UUCCGUGGUAACAAUCUCAGCCAAUGCUACGUCUAUGCUUAGUAUUUCGCCUUGUAGUAACUUUGUUUAUGCUCCUUUGCAGACUAACAAUCUGAACCUUGGAUCUAUGUCACUGGAUUACUGACCUUUGUAUCUAAGUACUUCUGAAUGAACUAUGUUUUGAGGACUUCGUUUCCAAGCACUUUAUUUGUUUGGGUCAUCGUUUCAAGCUGACAGUCUCCCUGCUUCCUUCGUCUCCAGGAUCAAGAACUGAGCAUACCCUGUUCACCCUCCAACGCAAGUAUCAGCACAAAGGAAUUAACUCUCACACCACUAAGCUCAUCAAGGAGCAUCUAAGAGACCAGCUGAACAAACUCAACCUCGACAACUCGGAUCCCAAAUCCCUCAACCCCUGGCGACCUGACCACACUCACUCAUGACUCAUUCUAAAUAACUGUUGUGACUCUUCGCACCACAAACAUCUCUGGAGCAAUAGCUUGGGAGAGAAGAGAACACCAGUCAGAUUGCUGUUUAAGAUCGGACACGCACGGGUAGAACGACGACCAAUCUGGGCCGACUGGGAGUUUAAAUAUUCUGCUUUGGUUUAAACUCGGUGACAGCACUGUGAGGCAAGAGGUUACCACUUCAAAGACAAUCUCAACUGGCUUUAAAGAAGAGAAGAAGAAGGUUGUCUGCUCAACUCCCUGUGGAAAAAGAGAGUACGGAGUGCACUCUCUCCUAACAGAGAUAUAUGAGGUUUGUUCCAUUUCUCCGCUUUGGCGUAAUGGCAGCUGUUUAUCCACAGAGAACCACCAGAUAACACAUCUCUCCAUCUUUUGCUGUCAUCCCUUCUUCUUUCUCGUUUCUUCUUCUUAAUUCGUCCCCCUGCUUGGAUGCUUUCUACUGUCCUCUGCUCACUGCUGUGUUUAGUUCACUUCUUGACAAGGCCCUACACUCAGCUAGUUGCUAAAUGAAUAAUACAUGCAUGUUCUAGCUGCACUGUAAGGCAGAGGAGAGGAGAGGAGAGGAGAGACAAAGGAAGCGUAUAGAGGAUGCUUGUUUUUUGUGUGUGCCAGUGACUGCUUAGUGUUGAAACCCCAGCAUGGAAAGGCCAAAGAACUUUAAAUCCAGUCUUUGCAGCCUGUACAUUUGGAGGCGUCUGCAGCUGCCACUCAAACGCAUGCUUUCUGUUAGUCCCUCUGCAAAAUUAGGAGGUUGUUUGUGAGAUUCCCACUUGAGUGAAAUACAGGUCUUGAAGCAGAAUGAUAGAAUGAAAUGAUAGAGCUUUGAUUUCCAAGAUUUGUGUUUGUGUGUGUGUGUGUGUGUGUGUGUGUGUGUGUGUGUGUGUGCGCGUGUGCGGUCUGUGAGGUCUUACUAUUUGUUUCGAGCAUUACAAGUCCCCCCUUGACCCAGUAGAACAAGGGAUGGCCUACAUUUUAUCAACUGCUUUCAUUCAGUUUUGAUGGAGAUCAAAGCAGCACCCCAGCAGCCAGCAGAGAAUGCAUGCAUUAUCAAUCACGUCUGUGGCUUUUUUUUUGUACAGGAAAAUAUAUUGUAGAGAUCAAACGAAGAGGGUCAUCAAAGGCGAAAUCAUCACAAACCAUAGGGCAUCGAUUUUAUAUGUAUAAGUUGGAGUACAAAGAAAUCCAAAAGCCGUGUUAAUUGUAUUCAGAUCCAUCCAGCGUGUAUGUUUGUGACAAAUGAAAUAAAACAUAAAUAAUUUCCGCAAUCUAUCCUCGGGCUUUAGAAUUAGAAGUGCGCUGCUGUAUGCUGCGCACCUCUGAGAGCUUUUUUGUUCAUCUUCACUCCCUCUUCCUCUCUGUUUCUACCCUUCUAAAGACAAGAAAUUUCUGGUAUGAACAUGGCGCCUUAUCUCAAAGGACACAUGCAGAGUCAAAUGAUUUGCCUCUGCCUCUGAACUGCCUCCACUUUUAUUAGGGGAAAUGGAACAAAUGGAUGGGAGCAGCAGGGGUCCAAGUUUGUAGAAAUAAGUGAGGCAGUCUGGUUUUUAAAACAUCUUUAGAGUGGGGUUUUAUAGUGGAACAAGUGGGGCCCCGGUUGUUGAUUAUGAUGCAGGUUGAAAAGAAGUUUACUUUGAUGGCAGGUAAAUGACUAUCAGCUAAAAAGUGGACCUAACUAGCUCAGUUGCAGACUCACAUAAACACUCUCAAACUCUAUUGUUAGACAGAUAAAGCAUUUCCAUAGCCACUCUUUAACCUCAAUACACAUAGCUGUGCCAGAUUUGUGUCUUUGCAUCUUUCUCUCAAACAUCUCCCAACACAGUAACACUCCAUAAUUUAACACCUCGUGCUGUCAUUUUUACCAUCAAUUUAACUGUUGUUUGGGGAUGUAGCAUUACAAACAAAGCUAGGAUACUCCCCCUUCAUGUAUAGUUCUUGUAUGUAUGUUAUUAACAUUUUAUCUGCUUAAGCGACACAAAGUAGCACAUUAUGAUGAAGUGGGACGAUAAGGAUAUAUGGUGUUGAAAUCUGAAAAGCAAGGUGUCAUUGAGUCAAUACUGUGUAGAAGUCUGCAUCAAUUUUUAACUCUUGCCAAACAUUUCCAAUUGGAUUUAGAUUUCGUCUUUGACUGUACUAUUUUGGCAUAUAAGUAUACAGCUAUGUGAACCAUUUCAUCUUAGCUCUAGCUAUCUUAACGACUGAAAGGUGAACCUCUGCUCCAACUCUCAAGUGUUUUGAAGCCUCUAACAGGUUUCCUACCAGUAUUGUCCUUUUUUUUUUUUUUACCAAUUAGCAGUAUAAACUGAACUUGACUGCAUUGUUUUGUAACUACAACCAAAUUGGAUUGUAUGUAAUUGACUCUGUGAUUGGAUUGCAUGGACUGUAUACUUCUUUAUAUAAAUUGGAUAUGUUUAUUUUC